RNAcentral lists this ribosomal RNA (333 nucleotides) under uncultured bacterium. RNAcentral's name for it is "bacterial SSU rRNA". It matches the Rfam family "Bacterial small subunit ribosomal RNA", at positions 1 to 334 of the family's 1533-position model. The record is from RNAcentral.
CGCACUAGUUCAGAGUUUGAUCCUGGCUCAGGAUGAACGCUGGCUGUGUGCCUAAUACAUGCAUGUCGAGCGAUGCUAGCAAUAGCAUAGCGGCGAAUGGGUGAGUAACACGUACUCAACGUACCUUUUAGAUUGGGAUAGCGGGUGGAAACAUCCGAUAAUACCAAAUACUUAUUAAAAUCGCAUGAUUCUAAUAUAAAAGAAGCGUUUGCUUCGCUAGAAGAUCGGAGUGCGCAACAUUAGCUAGUUGGUGAGGUAACGGCCCACCAAGGCGAUGAUGUUUAGCGGGGUUGAGAGACUGAACCGCCACACUGGGACUGAGAUACGGCCCAG